GGACGGUUAGCUCAGUGGGUUGAGUGCAGUGCUGACGACAAUGACAAUACGGAGGUCACGGGUUCGAUUCCCGCUCAGUCCC
Apaloderma vittatum (bar-tailed trogon) is the source of this 82-nucleotide non-coding RNA. Lineage: Eukaryota; Metazoa; Chordata; Aves; Trogoniformes; Trogonidae. The record is from Rfam.